GCUAGGCGUGGUGGCGCGCGCCUGUAAUCCCAGCUUCUUGGGAGGCUGAGGCAGGAUAAUGGCGUGAACCCGGGAGUCAGAGCUUGCAGUGAGCUGAGAUCAUGCCACUGCACUCCAGCCUGGGCGACAGAGCGAGACUCUGUCUCAAAAAAAAAAAAAAGAGAGACAGGGUGUCACUUUGUCACCCAGACUGGAGUGCAGUGACGUGAUCAUAGCUCACUGCAGCCUCAAAAUCCUGGGCUUAAGUGAUCCUCCCAUCU
Molecule: small RNA, 260 nt
Filed under: Pan troglodytes (chimpanzee)
Lineage: Eukaryota; Metazoa; Chordata; Mammalia; Primates; Hominidae
Description: Metazoan signal recognition particle RNA (ENSPTRG00000046022.1)
Source: RNAcentral